This 2905-nucleotide ribosomal RNA is filed under the name Yersinia kristensenii. RNAcentral describes it as "bacterial LSU rRNA". It matches the Rfam family "Bacterial large subunit ribosomal RNA". The record is from RNAcentral. Lineage: Bacteria; Pseudomonadati; Pseudomonadota; Gammaproteobacteria; Enterobacterales; Yersiniaceae.
UUAAGCGACUAAGCGUACACGGUGGAUGCCUAGGCAGUCAGAGGCGAUGAAGGGCGUGCUAAUCUGCGAAAAGCGUCGGUAAGGUGAUAUGAACCGUUAUAACCGACGAUACCCGAAUGGGGAAACCCAGUGCAAUUCGUUGCACUAUUGCAUGGUGAAUACAUAGCCAUGCAAGGCGAACCGGGGGAACUGAAACAUCUAAGUACCCCGAGGAAAAGAAAUCAACCGAGAUUCCCCUAGUAGCGGCGAGCGAACGGGGAGGAGCCCAGAGUCUGAAUCAGUUUGUGUGUUAGUGGAAGCGUCUGGAAAGUCGCAGGGUACAGGGUGAUACUCCCGUACACAAAAACACACUUGCUGUGAACUCGAUGAGUAGGGCGGGACACGUGACAUCCUGUCUGAAUAUGGGGGGACCAUCCUCCAAGGCUAAAUACUCCUGACUGACCGAUAGUGAACCAGUACCGUGAGGGAAAGGCGAAAAGAACCCCGGCGAGGGGAGUGAAAUAGAACCUGAAACCGUGUACGUACAAGCAGUGGGAGCACCUUCGUGGUGUGACUGCGUACCUUUUGUAUAAUGGGUCAGCGACUUAUAUUUUGUAGCAAGGUUAACCGAAUAGGGGAGCCGUAGGGAAACCGAGUCUUAACUGGGCGUCUAGUUGCAAGGUAUAGACCCGAAACCCGGUGAUCUAGCCAUGGGCAGGUUGAAGGUUGGGUAACACUAACUGGAGGACCGAACCGACUAAUGUUGAAAAAUUAGCGGAUGACUUGUGGCUGGGGGUGAAAGGCCAAUCAAACCGGGAGAUAGCUGGUUCUCCCCGAAAGCUAUUUAGGUAGCGCCUCGUGAACUCAUCUUCGGGGGUAGAGCACUGUUUCGGCUAGGGGGCCAUCCCGGCUUACCAAACCGAUGCAAACUCCGAAUACCGAAGAAUGUUAUCACGGGAGACACACGGCGGGUGCUAACGUCCGUCGUGAAGAGGGAAACAACCCAGACCGCCAGCUAAGGUCCCAAAGUCAUGGUUAAGUGGGAAACGAUGUGGGAAGGCAUAGACAGCCAGGAUGUUGGCUUAGAAGCAGCCAUCAUUUAAAGAAAGCGUAAUAGCUCACUGGUCGAGUCGGCCUGCGCGGAAGAUGUAACGGGGCUAAACCAUGCACCGAAGCUGCGGCAGCGACGCUUAGGCGUUGUUGGGUAGGGGAGCGUUCUGUAAGCCGUUGAAGGUGACCUGUGAGGGUUGCUGGAGGUAUCAGAAGUGCGAAUGCUGACAUAAGUAACGAUAAUGCGGGUGAAAAACCCGCACGCCGGAAGACCAAGGGUUCCUGUCCAACGUUAAUCGGGGCAGGGUGAGUCGACCCCUAAGGCGAGGCUGAAAAGCGUAGUCGAUGGGAAACAGGUUAAUAUUCCUGUACUUGGUGUUACUGCGAAGGGGGGACGGAGAAGGCUAGGCUAGCCGGGCGACGGUUGUCCCGGUUUAAGCAUGUAGGCGGAGUGACUUGGUAAAUCCGGUUGCUUAUCAACGCUGAGGUGUGAUGACGAGUCACUACGGUGAUGAAGUAGUUGAUGCCAAGCUUCCAGGAAAAGCCUCUAAGCAUCAGGUAACAUUAAAUCGUACCCCAAACCGACACAGGUGGUCAGGUAGAGAAUACUCAGGCGCUUGAGAGAACUCGGGUGAAGGAACUAGGCAAAAUGGUGCCGUAACUUCGGGAGAAGGCACGCUGGCAUUAGGUAAAGAGAUUUGCUCUCGGAGCUGAAGCCAGUCGCAGAUACCAGCUGGCUGCAACUGUUUAAUAAAAACACAGCACUGUGCAAACACGAAAGUGGACGUAUACGGUGUGACGCCUGCCCGGUGCUGGAAGGUUAAUUGAUGGGGUCAGCCGCAAGGCGAAGCUCUUGAUCGAAGCCCCAGUAAACGGCGGCCGUAACUAUAACGGUCCUAAGGUAGCGAAAUUCCUUGUCGGGUAAGUUCCGACCUGCACGAAUGGCGUAAUGAUGGCCAGGCUGUCUCCACCCGAGACUCAGUGAAAUUGAACUCGCUGUGAAGAUGCAGUGUACCCGCGGCAAGACGGAAAGACCCCGUGAACCUUUACUAUAGCUUGACACUGAACAUUGAGCCUUGAUGUGUAGGAUAGGUGGGAGGCAUUGAAGUGUGGACGCCAGUCUGCAUGGAGCCAACCUUGAAAUACCACCCUUUAAUGUUUGAUGUUCUAACUCGGCCCCGUGAUCCGGGGUGAGGACAGUGUCUGGUGGGUAGUUUGACUGGGGCGGUCUCCUCCCAAAGAGUAACGGAGGAGCACGAAGGUUAGCUAAUCACGGUCGGACAUCGUGAGGUUAGUGCAAAGGCAUAAGCUAGCUUGACUGCGAGAGUGACGGCUCGAGCAGGUACGAAAGUAGGUCUUAGUGAUCCGGUGGUUCUGAAUGGAAGGGCCAUCGCUCAACGGAUAAAAGGUACUCCGGGGAUAACAGGCUGAUACCGCCCAAGAGUUCAUAUCGACGGCGGUGUUUGGCACCUCGAUGUCGGCUCAUCACAUCCUGGGGCUGAAGUAGGUCCCAAGGGUAUGGCUGUUCGCCAUUUAAAGUGGUACGCGAGCUGGGUUUAGAACGUCGUGAGACAGUUCGGUCCCUAUCUGCCGUGGGCGUUGGAAGAUUGAGAGGGGCUGCUCCUAGUACGAGAGGACCGGAGUGGACGAAUCACUGGUGUUCGGGUUGUCAUGCCAAUGGCAUUGCCCGGUAGCUAAAUUCGGAAGAGAUAACCGCUGAAAGCAUCUAAGCGGGAAACUUGCCUCGAGAUGAGUCUUCCCUGGGGCUUUAAGCCCCCUGAAGGAACGUUAAAGACUAUGACGUUGAUAGGCUGGGUGUGUAAGUGCAGCGAUGCAUUGAGCUAACCAGUACUAAUGAUCCGUGAGGCUUAACCUU